This 510-nucleotide ribosomal RNA is filed under the name uncultured bacterium. Its description in RNAcentral is "bacterial SSU rRNA". It matches the Rfam family "Bacterial small subunit ribosomal RNA", at positions 28 to 526 of the family's 1533-position model. The record is from RNAcentral.
GAUGAACGCUAGCGACAGGCCUAACACAUGCAAGUCGAGGGGUAGCACAGAAAUAGCUUGCUAUUUUGGGUGACGACCGGCGCACGGGUGAGUAACGCGUAUGCAACCUGCCUGUAACAGGGGGCUAGCCUCUUGAAAGCGAGAUUAAUACCGCAUAAUAAAGUUGAACGGCAUCGUUCGACUUUUAAACAUUUAUGGGUUACAGAUGGGCAUGCGUUUCAUUAGGUAGUUGGUGAGGUAACGGCUCACCAAGCCGACGAUGAAUAGGGGUUCUGAGAGGAAGGUCCCCCACACUGGUACUGAGACACGGACCAGAAUCCUACGGGAGGCAGCAGUGAGGAAUAUUGGUCAAUGGACGCAAGUCUGAACCAGCCAAGUCGCGUGAAGGAUGAAGGUAUUAUGUAUUGUAAACUUCUUUUAUCAGGGAAUAAUGACCGCUACGUGUAGCGGGAGGGAAUGUACCUGAUGAAUAAGCAUCGGCUAACUCCGUGCCAGCCGCCGCAGUAACAC